Pseudopipra pipra is the source of this 6634-nucleotide long non-coding RNA. RefSeq lists it as uncharacterized. The record is from RefSeq and is a predicted model, not a curated record. NCBI's taxonomy places the organism in Eukaryota, Metazoa, Chordata, Aves, Passeriformes, Pipridae. The transcript is spliced from 2 exons.
GGCUGACCCUGCUUCCAGAGGGGAAGGAGGAAAACAAUAGGAGGGGAGCCAGUGCAGAGCAUAUUUAAAGCACAAUCAUGGGAAAUGCUCCCACUGCCAUGGAGCCCUUUUCCUGCCCCUGGCACAUCCCCUGGCUGCACUUCAGGCCUAUGGAUCCAGGACCCUCUUCACUAAGAGGCACCACGGAGAGCCCAGGAACACAGGACUUGGGAGGUGAACACACACAGCACAAUUUUUCCUGCCUUCUGGAAAGGUAGGAAGGUUUUCCUCCCCUGUGGAAAGGAGGUGAGUCCUUUUCCAGGUACAAUUUUCCAGGAAACAAAGCUGGAAUGACUGUAUUGAUGACCUGGUUGUGGUGCCAGGAAACGUGAGGGGAAUAUUUCAGUUACUCACCUGUAGAACUUGUAUUUAUUCACUUGUCAUUUAUGGGCAAGAACAGGAAUUUACUCGUUUUCUUUUUCUUUAAUGCCAUGAAUAAUAUUUAUGAAGUUGUUUGUACUUGGAAACCACAAGGUGGGGAACUCAGAGCUAUAAAAAUGCAAAGAGUUGUAAUCUCCCAGGAAUGAAACUGUGAAAUCAAGUGUUGAGCAAGAUGCUUUCAAAUGAAACAGUAUAUUUUCAGAAUUAUAUUGCAAGUGAGGGUUUUUUUUGCUGGGCUGAAUAAUUUUUCAUUCACUCUUUGAGGGAAAUAAAAAAGAAAACUGUGCAUUUCAUCUCCCUUUCCAGCCCCUUACUUUAGCAAAUACUUAGGCAGAAUAUCUUGUCCUCAUUUUUUUUUUGAAUUAUCAGUUUGUGAAAUGCUUUCCUCCCCUCUCCAGCUAUUUUCCAAUUCCUUGCCAAUGAGAAAAGGAUUAUUUUCCUCCUCUUUCCACCCUUCUCUUUUUUCCUCUAAAUUAGAACUUCUUGUGAUUUUUUUUUUCCCCCGUGGUAUCACUUUCUUUGGUUGUGAAACAAAGCCUCCCACUCUCAGAGAUAAACCUGGAUAUGUGGAGACAACUGAGAACUAUUGGAAUAACAGUGAUUUUCAUUUCUUGUUUUUGUUUUGAAACCACUCAAGCCAGUGAGAAUAUUUGACACAACCACAUCAACUACAGGAAUAGAAUUUAAUUCUGAGUGUUUAGAAACUGAGAGGUAAAAAACUACCCCCUCUUUUCUCAGUUAUUUGCUGCUUUUUGUGGACAAUCAUGGAAAAUCCUUGAAUUUUGAGAAUUCCUGCUUAUGCUGUGCCACCUGCUGAAGUGUUGCAGCCAGAGUGACAAUUCAGGGAGCAAUGGAGCAAAGGGGAAGUGACCAUAAACCAGGAAACUCAAAAUGGGUGGCAGGAAUGAUCUCCUGGAAUAACAAUUGCUGGAUAAGACAGAGUGGGGCAACAGUUACCAGGGUGUCGUCAGGAAAAAGCUCUGGAGCAGGUUGUGUUCAAAUAGGAGUUCAAGGAGAAGGUUCCACAGUGGAAGAGAUGUUUUAAACACACUCCCAGGUCAGAAGGGGAAAGUAGUUCCUCAAAUCCAAGGAAAGAUGGUGAGAAGGAAUUGCACAGAGGGGUGGGGAUUUACAUGCUGGGAGACAGUGAGUGAUCGGGUUUGUCAGCAAAGGGAUGAAUCCCAAAGUUCAGGGCACAAGGUCCUGCUGAAUAAAGAUGUUUCUUUGGAAAGUUCUGCUCAACUCCAGCCUGGAGAGAGAAGGAAAUAAAACCACCCCACCUUCCCCAGGCCUUGGAGGCCCUCCAGCAAAGUUCAGUCACUUGAGGGCAGAGGAAAUGCCUGAUGAGGAACUGCUGGAUGUGCAUAAAAUACUCUGCCUUGGAGGGGGAGAAAGGGGAUUUUGAGAGGAGAUCUGCUUUGGGAAUACAAGGAACUAAGGGAGAUGACCCAGAGCUAUGGGGGAACAGCAGGAGCAUUUGUGCUGCAGGUGGGAAGAGAGGAUUCUGGCUGGAUACCUGGAAUGUAGGACAGCCUGGGUGGCAGGAACAGGAUUUAGGAACAGACUGGGAUCUGUGUGGUGACAGGGCUGUGAAGGGGACACUGCAAGCCCCACCACAGAGUCAGAGGGAACCAAUUCCUUUCUCCUGUCCAUUCCUGCACUUCCAUACACUUUCAUUUCAAAGGAAUGAGGAGCCCAGCCCUGGUGACAAAGAGCUCUCACUUGAUCUCCAGCCAGAGCAGGGAAGCAGAGCCCUUGCUGAGGGUGUGAACUUCCUUCAUUCCCAGGGCCCUGUCACACCAACGUGCAGCAUUUUAAUCAAAAUCAAAGCUUCCCUCUGAAAUUCCUGGGCUUAGUUAUAAAACACUUCAUGUCCAUCCUGCUGGAAAAAGCAGGAGAGUGUUAAGAAGUUUAAAUGUUACGAGAAUGUGUCUUCCCAAAGGCAAACUGUGCAGUAAAUACUCUGGUUCAGCGGCUCUCAGACGUCUGUAGUUGUUCAGGAUUUCUGUUAAAUAAUCUGGAGAUUUUUAAAACUCACCACUGCUAACAACAAACACAGGAACGUGUGUAAACACAGGAGUGUGUGUAUCCUGAGGAAACCUUUGCAGGCACAAAGGGAAAGUUGUGCACUGAGCCAAGUGUUAUCUAAUAAUUCAGCUACAGUCCCCAAAGCCCAAAGCUCUGAAUUCCCAGAAUCACAGGCUGGUUUGGGGGGAAAGGACCUUAAAAGCAUCUUGUUCCAUCCCCCUGCCAUGGGGGAACACCUUCCACAGACCCAGCUGCUCCAAGCCCUGUCCAACCUGGCCUAGAACACCAACAAAAUCCUGAAAUUCCUGGUUUGGCUGAGAAGCUGCACACUGUUAAUGAUGCUUUUACAUUCUCGUAUUUUUGAAUGCAUGGCCUGAUUUGGCUGUUGGACAUAGAGCCUGGUGCCCCCCUGCCCCAGGGAACAGCUCUGGAAUUCUGGGAAGCACGGGGGGCAAUAGUUCUGAGCAGUGUCUGUAGGAGAAGGAGCCAUAAACCCCGCACUGAGCCCUGCUGUGACUCAGCACAGAGGGAGGAGCUGUUUGCUUUGGCAGAGCGUCCCUUCAAACCACAGGAGCUUCCUCGGGCCGAGAUCUUCGGUGUCAGAGAGAUUUAUGUUCAAAAAGGCUUCCUCAGCCUUUUCCCAGCAGUUUACAGGAGAUGGUGCACCAACCCAAUAAAAUCCGAGUGGGACAGAGCCCAGAGAACUUUAUAAUAACACAUUCCUUAGCACAUGGAGUGAUUAAAGAACUGUUUGCGUGGCUGUGUGCGACAGAUCCUGCAUCACACGCUGUCAGUGCGUGCUGGGGGCAAAGCACAGGCUUUUCCUUUCAGAAAAUGGGUAAUGGUGUAAUGAUGGUGGAGUAAAAAACGUAUUUAAUGGUGUCAGACGCGGUUCCGGCUUCGUUGCAAUUUGGAAGCGUCUUCAGCAAAGACAGUGAUAACUCAGGAGAGCUGAACCCUGAAAGCUAAUCGUUGUUUCAUGGCAAUAUUUACUGUCCUGAGUGCUCAGUGCACUUGAUUGAUCUGGGCAAUGCAAAGAGGUGAGGCCACAAGCACAACAAUUUUAUGGCCCCUAUAAAGCCCCGCACGCAUUUUGCUCCAUUUUCUGCUGUUAAACCCAGAGUUUGGGAUCAUAUGGCACUUUAAGUGCUUUGAUUUAUGGGCAGACAGCAAUUGCAUGUGUAAUAAACAUCCUAAAGCAGGAGUUUAAGAGCAAUCUCCUGUAUUUAUUUGUGACAUAAACACUCACCUGCAAUGCAUGUGGGAAUCAUCUGGGGCUUAACUCACAGGGAACAUCUCAGCCAUUAAGCUCCAGGCACAGCAAGGUUGUAUCCAAGGUGAAGAUGGAAGGGACUGGGAAGAAAAGGGUGGCAUGGCAAAUAGAAAUGGAAAAAAUCUUCUUUUUCUGCUGUUAAAUAUUCCAGCACACAGCCGUAAUUUCUUACUCUCCUGGUAAAGUGUACAAAAUAAAUUACAACCCCAGUCUUGUUUAAUAUGAAAUAUUUAAGCACACGGCCAUGAAAAGAACAUGAAAAACACACUGACAUGUUUGAAUAUAAAUAUAAUAAAAUUGCAGGUGUUUCAGGUUUGUGGAAAAUCCCUCCAGAAUGACUGAAAGCACAGAAACCCUUCGUGGCACUGGAACCUGCCCCAGCUCUGCUCCAUGUGAGGAAUCCUCCCCAUUGGCUGUUUUGGUGCCAAAUUAAUUAUCCUCAGUGGAUGAUUAGGAGUAACAGAAGGUAAUAAUUUUGAAAUGAUUUAAGUAGCUUUUAAAGUAACUUAAAUAAUUUAAUCCUUCCUUCUUUGCAUAUCUUUAUAUGAUAGUAAUAGAGUGUGGGAGAGUGGCAUUAAUGUAAUUGAUACUAUUAAGGAUGAGUGACAAGGAUUCAUGGACUUUAACACUUAUCCAUUUAUUUCUUAAGAAUAAGAAAUUCACUUAGGAUAAGCAAAUUCAGAUGGAUUUCUGGGCUUCCAAGAGUGGGAAGAAGAGAGGACAAAAAAAUCCAAGACUUAAUGAAACCAUGAGCUUGAAGUUUCCAGGGUGACACAGACUUAAAUAAAAAAGACAAAUUCGGGAUUCUUGAGUUUAAAUAAUAAAAUUAGAGGGGAGAUCUGAACAAUAUUCACCCUUAGAGGUUGCAAGGGCUGCCAUGGCUUUGUCUCACUGUUUUUAGAGGAAAAGGAAGGAGAUUCUGUCAUUUUACGUUUGUUACAUAUUGAUAACAGGAGUGACCCACUGAAUUUCUUCCAGUAAGGAAGCCUUGGACUGUCAUGCUACAGAGACUUAAUAGACUAAAAUGGGACUAGAAGAUCAUAAACCAGUGCUUAAAAUCCUCCUGGUAACAUGGCAGAGAGUCAGGAAGCCAUUCUAGGAUGAGCAUUUAUUUUUCCAGGAAUCCUUUGUCAUCCCACUUGGCACAGACAAGUUGUUAAGAAGCCUUCAAAAGUACUUUUGCAGAGUGAAUUUUUGGGUCUUUAGUGUACAAAACUCUGUGACAAAAACACACGGGAUGAAAUCCUGAUCCCCAAGGCAGCCUGAAAGAUUGUGGAGAUUUUGGUUAAUUGAUUAAAUCAAGUCAAGCCAACAAGAGCUUUGGUGAGAACGUCCCUAAAGCCUCAAUUCUGGUCAUUUCCAUGCUUCCCAUUGGCACACACAGCUGAAUCUUGCCCAAAAUAUUAUCAUCCCAUAUCAGAAAUAGCAGUUUAAUAUGUUUGUUCACUGUGUGGUUUUGCCUGUUGCUUUUCCUAUGGGGUGAAAAAGCCUUUUUGAGACUCAGAAGAUAAAAAUCUGCUUUUCUGGAUCUUCCUUUAAAUAAAGGGUAAAACUGCUCACAAAUUAAAGGAGAGAAUGUCUGUGGGAUCCUGUUGCCAAAGUCACUUGUCACUGCCCAUAUGAGUUACAUGUUAGCUGGGUUUGAAAUUCAUAUGAGAAUAUCAUAGUUUAAAGAAUAAAAUCGAAGUAUUAAUCAAAGUAGUGUUAAAGACAGCGAUAAAGCAUUGAAAAGUGUGUGUUAGGUGCCUUUUCCAGCUUCAGCUACCAAUUCUCUACAUUUACCUUCUCUCUGCUUCUGAACUGACUUUGAAAAUAGUACCAAGGAUUAUUUUUUUGAUGAUAAUAUUUUGGCACUCUACAGAUUGAAGUUUAACUUUGCCGGGUGCAACAGCCUGGAUUUGGUGCCUAUAAUUUCUUGUUGCUGAGGGGUAUCGUCCUCAAACCACAACAUAACAUCUCUGAGACUCCUGUGGUGAAGAUGAUGCUGGACAUGGAGCAGGAGAGGCUUUGGGGAAGCAGCUCUGAGCCACAGAAAGGUCAGUGCUGUUGCCUCUGUCUCUGUCUUUCCUCUCCCUCACCAGCCCUGGAUCCAGCGUGUCCCGACAUUCCUCAGCGUUUUCCUUCUGAGAAUGAUGGUGGGAGGCUGGUUUGGGGUGGUAUGACCAUGGUACCCUGAAAUAAUUGGUCUAAUUAGCCAGGAAACAACCCUACAUUUAACCUCCAUCCACAAGCCUUUGCUAGAUGUAACUUUUCUUUCCAAAGUUAUCCCUUUUAUCUCUGUAAAUAAAUUGUAAUUAUAAAACUCCAGGUGCCCUGCAGGUCACAAAUUACCUUUGAGCUCCCUCAAGUGGCAGCGAAACCCUCGAGUUUGUAACAGAAAUACAGGAGGUUGUUACAGAAACUCUCAGGUUUGUAACAGAAACCCUCGAGUUUGUUGUACAGUCUGUUUUCCAAGGAAGCUUUGUAAUUUAAAACCAUGUUUUCAGCUUUGUAAUUUAAAACCAUGAGUAAAGUGAAAGAGCUGUCUGGAUUUCACAGAAUCUAAACCAGCACUUGAAAAGGUGACCUGCUAAUUUAAUAACAUAGUUCUCUUUUGACAGGUCUCUGAAAAGACACAUAUUGAGUGAAAAGAAGCAUUUUAUGCCCAGUAGGAGUUUUCAGCUCGUUCACUACACAAUUCCAGCAUGUUUUGAGAAGUUAUUUUGACCUUCUUCUGUGGUUCCUGAUCAAAUUGAUUACAGAGUAGCUGGAAAGUGGAUGUCUUGGUUCAGCAUCUCAGGUAAAACUCAGCCCUUUCCACCACCCUGAAAAGGAAAAUAAAUCCUUGGGCUUAAAUCAUGAGGAUUUCUGCCUCGUUAAGAGUGUAUGUGACUCAAAAAGAGUAUAUUUUAAAUAAAAGUACUUGAUUACGUA